GUCCCAGACUCCUACGGGAGGCAGCAGUGAGGAAUAUUGGUCAAUGGGCGGGAGCCUGAACCAGCCAAGCCGCGUGAAGGAAGAAGGCGCCAGGCGUCGUAAACUUCUUUUGUCGGGGAACAAAGGGCGCCACGUGUGGCGUUGUGAGUGUACCCGAAGAAAAAGCAUCGGCUAACUCCGUGCCAGCAGCCGCGGUAAUACGGAGGAUGCGAGCGUUAUCCGGAUUUAUUGGGUUUAAAGGGUGCGUAGGCGGUCCGGAAAGUCGGGGGUAAAAGCCGGGGGCCCACCCCCGGCGAGCCGUUGAAACUGUCGGACUAGAGACGGCGAGAAGUACGCGGAAUGCGCGGUGUAGCGGUGAAAUGCAUAGAUAUCGCGCAGAACUCCGAUUGCGAAGGCAGCAUACCGGUGCACAACUGACGCUCAGGCACGAAAGCGUGGGUAUCGAACAGGAUUAGAUACCCUUGUA
RNAcentral lists this ribosomal RNA (466 nucleotides) under uncultured bacterium. RNAcentral's name for it is "bacterial SSU rRNA". It matches the Rfam family "Bacterial small subunit ribosomal RNA", at positions 328 to 792 of the family's 1533-position model. The record is from RNAcentral.